Molecule: small RNA, 30 nt
Filed under: Bombyx mori (domestic silkworm)
Lineage: Eukaryota; Metazoa; Arthropoda; Insecta; Lepidoptera; Bombycidae
Description: ovarian small RNA-17739
Source: RNAcentral
GUCCCGAUCAGGUGGCGCGCCGCCUCUACA